AACAAGGCGUACCUGCGGACCUGCGGAAGGAUCAUUACUGAGUCACGUGCUCAAACAACCCUUCUAUGGACCUGAAAUAAAACCGUUGCCUCGGCGGGCGGUCCCCCCCAAACCAACCCCACGUGGUGGGUUAGGGGAGACCAGACAGUCCGGUACGCUUAAGGCGUCCGGCGCCAGCCGCUGGCCCCAAACAAUUAAACUCUAGUAAUCUUUACCUUCUGAGUUUCAAUAUUUAAAAAU
Molecule: unclassified non-coding RNA, 240 nt
Filed under: soil metagenome
Description: partial contains 5.8S ribosomal RNA, internal transcribed spacer 2, and large subunit ribosomal RNA
Source: RNAcentral